GGAGGAAACUCUGAUGCAGCGAUGCCGCGUGAGUGAAGAAGGCCUUUGGGUUGUAAAGCUCUUUUGUAGGGGAAGAUAAUGACUGUACCCUAAGAAUAAGGUCCGGCUAACUUCGUGCCAGCAGCCGCGGUAAUACGAAGGGACCUAGCGUAGUUCGGAAUUACUGGGCGUAAAGCGCGCGUAGGCCGUUGAGUUAGUUAAUUGUGAAAUCCCAAAGCUUAACUUUGGAACUGCAAUUAAAACUGCUCGACUAGAGUUUGAUAGAGGAAAGCGGAAUACAUAGUGUAGAGGUGAAAUUCGUAGAUAUUAUGUAGAACACCAGUUGCGAAGGCGGCUUUCUGGAUCAACACUGACGCUGAGGCGCGAAAGUAUGGGUAGCAAAGAGGAUUAGAUACCCUCGUAGUCCAUACCAUAAACGAUGAUUGCUAGAUGUUGGAAAUUNAUUUUCAGUAUCG
RNAcentral lists this ribosomal RNA (455 nucleotides) under uncultured bacterium. RNAcentral's name for it is "bacterial SSU rRNA". It matches the Rfam family "Bacterial small subunit ribosomal RNA", at positions 373 to 848 of the family's 1533-position model. The record is from RNAcentral.